Molecule: long non-coding RNA, 896 nt
Filed under: Nicotiana tabacum (common tobacco)
Lineage: Eukaryota; Viridiplantae; Streptophyta; Magnoliopsida; Solanales; Solanaceae
Description: long non-coding RNA (NTAB_LNC019010)
Source: RNAcentral
CCCAUCAUAUCAUAUCGGCCACUGCAGGUAAAAUCAUCAUCGUAUACCAGUUGAUCAGGUGGUGGUGCGUAUAUAACGCCAUAACUUUUCCCAUAUACCAUAUACAUACAUAUACAUACAUAUAUAUAUGCAUAUAUAAUGCCGUUUGAAUUAUAUUUACAUAUAUACGCGUAUAUAACGUCGUUUUAAUCAUAUUUCAGCCGUUGUGGGCAGCAUCAUAUACUAACUGAUCAGGUGGUGGUGCGUAUAUAACGCCGUAACCUUUUCCCAUAUCUCAUAUACAUAUAUUUACAUAUAUACGCGUAUAUAACGCCAUCUGUUCAUGGGUCAAUGCACAUGAAUGAAAUGUAUGAAAAUCACGUCAAUAAAAUCAUUCGGAAUGUCAUAAGACCAUUUUUCCUCUGAGUAAUAUCAUAAAGUAAACUCUUUACAACUUUCGUAUUUUUCUGAGACCCAUGAACAGAUGAUAAAAUAUUAUGGCAUGUGAAAAUUCAAGAACAUGGAUAUCUCUAAUACUUCUAUGAAUAGAGUCAUUAUGGAAUUUGUGCAUUUGUACGUUUCGUUCGUAUCGUAUGGAUCAUGCCAAAAGAAUAGAAGGGAUAGCCUUAACAUACCUGUUUCUUGAAUUAUAUGAACGAAUCUGCUUUUGCGAAAUAUGGACGAAAUUUAUACUCGGAUUUUCCUUGAAAUUGGAACGAACUUGUUUUGGAUUUGAAAUUUUGGAAGAACUUUUGAUUUUUGCUUCUAACGUUUUUGUGCAGAAAUGGAUUUAAUCUUGAUGUUAGCUUUGAAACCACAAAAAAACAUUGAGACUAAGCCAAAAAAACGUUGAACCAAGAAAGUGUAAAAGCAAGACUUCAAACAAUUGUUUCCCUUGAAGUCUUGAAAGGAAAAAC